AGUGGCGUACGGGUGAGUAACACGUGGGUAAUCUACCCUUUGGUGGGGAAUAACUCUGGGAAACCGGAGCUAAUACCGCAUAAUCCUGAGAAGGAAAAGCAGCAAUGCGCCGAAGGAGGAGCCCGCGGCCGAUUAGCUAGUUGGUAGGGUAACAGCCUACCAAGGCAAAGAUCGGUAGCCGGCCUGAGAGGGCACACGGCCACACUGGCACUGAAACACGGGCCAGACUCCUACGGGAGGCAGCAGUGGGGAAUCUUGCACAAUGGGGGAAACCCUGAUGCAGCGACGCCGCGUGAGCGAUGAAGCCCUUCGGGGUGUAAAGCUCUUUCGGCAGGGAAGAUUAUGACGGUACCUGCAGAAGCAGCUGCGGCUAACUACGUGCCAGCAGCCGCGGUAAUACGUAGGCAGCGAGCGUUGUUCGGAGUUACUGAGCGUAAAGGGUGUGUAGGCGGUUCUUUAAGUUUGGUGUGAAAUCUCCCGGCUCAACCGGGAGGGUGCGCCGAAUACUGAGGGACUCGAGUGCGGGAGAGGAAAGUGGAAUUCCUGGUGUAGCGGUGAAAUGCGUAGAUAUCAGGAGGAACACCGGUGGUGUAGACGGCUUUCUGGACCGUAACUGACGCUGAGACACGAAAGCGUGGGUAGCAAACAGGAUUAGAUACCCUGGUAGUCCACGCCCUAAACGAUGCAUAUUUGGUGUGGGUCAUUCAGUUGAUCCGUGCCGGAGCUAACGCGUUAAAUAUGCCGCCUGGGGAGUACAGUCGCAAGGCUGAAACUCAAAGGAAUUGACGGGGGCCCGCACAAGCGGUGGAGCAUGUGGUUCAAUUCGA
RNAcentral lists this ribosomal RNA (827 nucleotides) under uncultured bacterium. RNAcentral describes it as "bacterial SSU rRNA". It matches the Rfam family "Bacterial small subunit ribosomal RNA", at positions 94 to 954 of the family's 1533-position model. The record is from RNAcentral.